Molecule: small nuclear RNA, 126 nt
Organism: Lutra lutra (Eurasian river otter)
Lineage: Eukaryota; Metazoa; Chordata; Mammalia; Carnivora; Mustelidae
Source: RefSeq, a predicted model, not a curated record
GUAUUUUAUGAAAGGAGAGAAGGUUAGCACUCCCCUUGACAAGGAUGGAAGAGGCCCUCGGGCCUGACAACAUGCAUACGGUUAAAGCAUUGCCAUCUACUUCGUGGCAUCUAACCAACGUUUGGG